GACGAACGCUGGCGGCGUGCUUAACACAUGCAAGUCGAACGGUGAAGCGCUUGCCUUUUUGGUGGGUGUGGAUGAGUGGCGAACGGGUGAGUAACACGUGAGUAACCUGCCCUCUUCUUCUGGAUAACCUCAUGAAAGUGGGGCUAAUACGGGGUAUUCCGGGUCUGUCGCAUGGCGGGUUUGGGAAAGAUUGCGCCUUUGGGUGUUUUCGGUGGGGGAUGGGCUCGCGGCCUAUCAGCUUGUUGGUGGGGUGAUGGCCUACCAGGGCGGUGACGGGUAGCCGGCCUGAGAGGGUGGACGGCCACACUGGGACUGAGACACGGCCCAGACUCCUGCGGGAGGCAGCAGUGGGGAAUAUUGCACAAUGGGCGCAAGCCUGAUGCAGCGACGCCGCGUGAGGGAUGGAGGCCUUCGGGUUGUGAACCUCUUUCGCCAGUGAAGCAGGCCUGCUCCUGUGUGGGUGGGUUGACGGUAGCUGGAUAAGAAGCGCCGGCUAACUACGUG
This 504-nucleotide ribosomal RNA is filed under the name uncultured bacterium. RNAcentral's name for it is "partial 16S ribosomal RNA". It matches the Rfam family "Bacterial small subunit ribosomal RNA", at positions 28 to 507 of the family's 1533-position model. The record is from RNAcentral.